RNAcentral lists this ribosomal RNA (630 nucleotides) under uncultured Rubrobacter sp. Its description in RNAcentral is "bacterial SSU rRNA". It matches the Rfam family "Bacterial small subunit ribosomal RNA", at positions 371 to 995 of the family's 1533-position model. The record is from RNAcentral. Lineage: Bacteria; Bacillati; Actinomycetota; Rubrobacteria; Rubrobacterales; Rubrobacteraceae.
AUGGGCGAAGCCUGAUGCAGCAACGCCGUGUGAGCGAUGAAGGCCUUAGGGUCGUAAAGCUCUGUUGUUAGGGACGAAGGGCGAAGGGUUAAUAGCCCUUAGCCUGACGGUACCUUUCGAGGAAGCCCCGGCUAACUACGUGCCAGCAGCCGCGGUAAUACGUAGGGGGCGAGCGUUGUCCGGAAUUAUUGGGCGUAAAGGGCGCGUAGGCGGCCUGGUAAGUCUGCUGUGAAACCUUGGGGCUCAACCCCAAGCGUGCAGUGGAUACUGUCAGGCUAGAGGAUGGUAGAGGCCAGUGGAAUUCCCGGUGUAGCGGUGAAAUGCGCAGAUAUCGGGAGGAACACCAGUAGCGAAGGCGGCUGGCUGGGCCAUUCCUGACGCUGAGGCGCGAAAGCUAGGGGAGCGAACAGGAUUAGAUACCCUGGUAGUCCUAGCCGUAAACGAUGAACACUAGGUGUGGGGGGAGUCGAAUCCCUCCGUGCCGAAGCCAACGCGUUAAGUGUUCCGCCUGGGGAGUACGGCCGCAAGGCUAAAACUCAAAUGAAUUGACGGGGAAUCGAAUUCCCGCGGCCGCCAUGGCGGCCGGGAGCAUGCGACGUCGGGCCCAAUUCGCCCUWGGGGNNNKNCGUA